Ornithodoros turicata is the source of this 342-nucleotide long non-coding RNA. RefSeq lists it as uncharacterized. The record is from RefSeq and is a predicted model, not a curated record. The transcript is spliced from 2 exons. Lineage: Eukaryota; Metazoa; Arthropoda; Arachnida; Ixodida; Argasidae.
AUGCAGGCCAGCUCUAUAAGCUCAACUCUAUAAUGUGAAAACCUCAGUCGUUGCCUUCCUUUUCCUAUUUUCCCCGUGCUGUGUCACUAUAUGUAUACAUGGUGUUCUUGUCAUUAGUAUAACUUUGCUGGUUUGAGUAGUGUGUUCGUGUCGUCGCUCCGGACUCUUGCUUUUACAUUAUGGACUUCAGAGAGCAAAGUUCUCCAGAGGCGAGCUGCCAGGCAUGAGGGCUGAGGGAAAUUGACACCUGCUAAUGUACGCCUACAUUUGCAAGUUUUUGCGCGUUAACUUCUAUUGUGCAGAACAUGCGAAAAAUCGUUCAGGCGAAUAAAAAGAAAAGAA